CAGUUUCAAAAAAAUGCUUCACCUGCUGUUAGUCAGCCUUCCCUUACUGUUAAAAAAGUACCUAAAGAUUAUCAGUGUAUAAAGAGAAAGGAUUUAUUUUGGCUCACAGUUCUGGUGGGGUUAGCCCAAGAUCGAUUGGCCUGGGCUUGUAACAGCACAUCCAAACAGAAGCAGCUGGGGGAGCAAAAUCACUCACUUCAUAGCUGGAAAAGAGAAAGAGAAAGGAGAGGAGACAGGGGUUCCUGCCCCCGCUGCCUGAAGACCUUUCCGAAGACUUAAUUGCCUCUGGCUCACCCGACAGCUGCAAUAGCUCCAAGCAUUUUAUCUUCAUACAAUAGUG
This 340-nucleotide long non-coding RNA is filed under the name Chinchilla lanigera (long-tailed chinchilla). RNAcentral describes it as "lncRNA (ENSCLAG00000028427.1)". The record is from RNAcentral. Lineage: Eukaryota; Metazoa; Chordata; Mammalia; Rodentia; Chinchillidae.